UACCAGCACCCCGAGUGGUCGGGACGAUUAUUGGGCCUAAAGCAUCCGUAGCCGGUCAUGCAAGUCCUCCGUUAAAUCCACCUGCUUAACAGAUGGGCUGCGGAGGAUACUACAAGGCUAGGAGGCGGAAGAGGCAAGCGGUACUCAGUGGGUAGGGGUAAAAUCCUCUGAUCCAUUGAAGACCACCAGUGGCGAAGGCGGCUUGCCAAUACGCGCUCGACGGUGAGGGAUGAAAGCUGGGGGAGCAAACCGGAUUAGAUACCCGUGUAGUCC
Molecule: ribosomal RNA, 273 nt
Filed under: uncultured archaeon
Lineage: Archaea
Also listed under: 1 other name
Description: partial 16S ribosomal RNA
Rfam family: Archaeal small subunit ribosomal RNA
Source: RNAcentral